AUGGCAACUUAUUUAUCUGACUUGAUUAGAGAGUAUUAUUUAGAUUUUAUUGGUAUCCAGGAAACAAUGAAGAAGGAUUUUUCCUCUAAGUUCUUGAGGAAAUUUGAUCCAGGGGAGUUUUGUUGGAAUUGGAUUCCUGCGGUUGGUAAAUCUGGAGGUAUUUUGUGUGGUGUUAAACAUGAUACUUUUGAUAUUAGGUCCUGCAAGGCAGGAAAAUAUGUUAUGAAACUUGAGUUAUGGGAUAAAAGUAAAAAAAGGAAUUACUGUGUUCUUGUAGUGUAUGGAUCUGCACAUGAGGAAUAUAAAGUGGAGUUCUUGACUGAGCUCUCUGACAUGUGUAGCAAUAUUGCAUGCUCCUAUAUUGUCGGAGGUGAUUUUAAUAUACUUAGAUAUGUUAGUGAGAAGAACAAGAAAACUAGAAUAAGUCACUCUUCUGAUCUCUUUAAUCUCAUCAAUUCCUUUUGUCUAAGAUAAGUAGACAUGAAUGGUGGUAUAUAUACUUGGUAUGAUAAUCAGCAAAAUCCUCCCCUUAAAAAGUUGGGUAGAAUUCUUAUGUCCAGUUCUUGGGAAAGCCAAUUUCCUUUGACUUUUAUUAGAAAGCUGGUUAAACAAAUUUCACAUCACUUCCCCCUGAUUCCGAAUACUGAACAUUUUAUCCCUACUCAUAUGCAGAAAAGAUAAUUUAGAUUUGAUCUGAAUUGGGUCAAGAAUCCUGAUUUUGUUCCCUUAGUUGCUAAGGUGUGGAUGAAACCUGUUAAAUCCAAUGAUCCCAUUGAUAUUUUGAACAUUAGUUGA
This 795-nucleotide ribosomal RNA is filed under the name Triticum aestivum (bread wheat). Its description in RNAcentral is "partial small subunit ribosomal RNA". Lineage: Eukaryota; Viridiplantae; Streptophyta; Magnoliopsida; Poales; Poaceae. The record is from RNAcentral.